AUAAAUGCCAGAGUUUCUCUUCUCCGGUAGAAUAAUUUGAACUCCCUGGAGUGAACAGAGGAAAGAAAAAAACUGCAGCCAUGUCCAGGAUCGUAGGCGCGACUCUCCUGCUCAUCCUUCUGAUCGACAUCUUCUGCACAGCUUCAUCUGAUGAUUUUUUUGUGAGUAGACUGGAUCUCGUCAAAUGCAGAUGCAAAUACUUGGCAAAUGGUAAAAGAAAGUGUCCCUUUCCACUGAUGCCCACGGACGACAAACUCAAAAUCGAUCUGAUCAAAUGCCUCUGCAAAACAAAACAAGACAGGUCUCCAAAGCUUCGGGCAUUCUGCAGCCACUCAAUCCUUCCAUUGAGUAGAUAGUAUGGGUUAAUUUUUUGAAGACAAUUUUUCUUAUUUUCAGUUCAGAGAAUAUAUCUCUAAAACAGAUGAGGCAUGUCUGGUACUGUCUAGCAAACACGGAAUUAAAAAGAUAAAUCUGUAUUUAUCCUGCAGGUAAAGCACAUUAUAAAUCUUUCGUAUCCACAAACUCACUGUAUUGAAUAUUGAAAUAAUGUUCCAUUUGUGUUAAUGUCUGCAGCAUGUUGUUCUUCCUCUAAAACACACAUAUGUACAUCACAUAUCACAUCUAGCCUUUGUUUCCAGAUCACAUGUUCUCUUGUUGUGUUCUAUUCUCUUUUGUUGUUGUUUUCAGUGUUGCUGCAGCUGGCACAAUAAAUGUUCACACUGAUGAAUCAGAUGUUGAUUUAAAAGCUAUUUCACCGUAAAAAGUGGUAGAAAUAAAAGAAAAAGGAAUAAAAGAAUUUCAUGCAA
Long non-coding RNA from Mugil cephalus (flathead mullet), 806 nucleotides. RefSeq lists it as uncharacterized. The transcript has 4 exons. Lineage: Eukaryota; Metazoa; Chordata; Actinopteri; Mugiliformes; Mugilidae. The record is from RefSeq and is a predicted model, not a curated record.